CUUGGCCCACACCGACGACGCGACAGUUUUGAACGGAACUUGCUGGUGCUUGGAUCGCAGCUCCGCCGAUCUCCGCGAGGUUGAAACCAACGACUUCGAUUUCGUCGCUCAAAUCACAUAUCAUAAAUCGCCAAAUACAAAAGCCUAGUUGUGCACAUCUAUAUAUUUUUUUUCUGUUUGUUUUCCGUUUGCGUGCUAAACCAUUUGUGCUGGUGAUCUUCGUGUGGAACAUAAAAACCUAAUAUUCUGAAUUUUCAAGCCGUGUUUCCAAAAGACUAAUUGCAACAGUUUCCGUGUCUUUAAUCCAUUGGAAGCUGUUCCUCCAACACAACUGCAUGGCCAUGUCCCGCAACCGAAACCGAAUCCUUGUGCCCAUGCAGCAGCUGCUCCUCCUGCCACUGCUGCUCCUCGUCCUCCUGGUCGUGGGCAAGGCAGCGGCGGGCUCCUUGGUGUCCCCGAACAACAGGCAGCCAUCGCAGCGCUUCUUCUACGCCGCCGCCACAUCCUCCUCCUCCUCCUCGCAGACGAAGGUGCGCCUGCUCCGCCAGGCGGAGGAUCCCAAUGCGGCGCCGGCUGCACUGGAGGGCAGCUGCUGUCAAGGAGCAGCCGCCGAAGCAGGAAAACCAUUGACGCUGCCACUGGCCGUGUCCGCUGAGCUGACCAACGUGACCGCCGACUACGAUGUCUCCGGCGAGAUGCCCUCCUCCAAGGAAAACUUCAAGCGCAGCAUCAUGAAAUCAACCGUGAGGAAUGCGACGCCGGCGAGCUGCUCCCCGCAACCGACGAUCGUGGAGCUGAAGCCGCCGGCGGAGGAUGAGGCCAACUACUACUACAUGCCGGCAUGUACGCGGAUCAGCCGGUGCAAUGGAUGCUGCGGUUCCACGCUGAUCUCCUGCCAGCCAACGGAGGUGGAGCAGGUGCAGCUGCGGGUGCGCAAGGUGGACCGGGCGGCCACCAGCGGUCGCAGACCCUUCACCAUCAUCACCGUGGAGCAGCACACGCAGUGUCGCUGCGAUUGCCGCACAAAGGCGGAGGACUGCAACGUAUACCAGUCGUAUCGCAAGGAUCUGUGCCGCUGCGAGUGCCACAACACGGACGCGAGGGACAAGUGCCUGGAGCAGGCGGAGAACAAGUACUGGGUGGACGACAACUGCACCUGCGUCUGUCGCUACAACCAGAGCUGCACCACCGGCACCGUCUUCGAUGAGACGCAGUGCAAGUGCACCGACGUGAGUGGCUCCCGAUAGGACACAACGGUGGCUCCCUUUGAGGCUCCACGGUCAGGGAUCUGGUCUGGUUUCGAACUGGGGAUCGGUUGUGCUCGUCCUUGGUUGGUUUGCGGUUGCUUCCUGGUGGUGGCUCCCUAGCUUAAGCUGUCCCGACAAGUUCCUCGCUUAUUUAUUGUAUUUCUUUCGUAUACUUACUAGUUUCUUGACCACUUAUAGAACUACUUAAUAAUAGAGUUUGAAAGCUAUUGCUUAGAAGGAUUUUCAAAAUCACAGAAGUUCACUCUGCGCGAUUUCUUUAGCACUAUUUGUGGUAAAUUCUGCCUAGAAGUUUACUUCGUUUUAUUUGACAUAUUAAACCAACCAUUUAAAUCACCAACUUUUCCAAAUAAUACAAAUACAUUUGCAGUUAAAUUAGUACAUUAGUUAGCAAAAAAACACUAAAUAGAUAUUAGUUCACAGUACUCAGGUUGCACUGUCUCGUUUUUGGUUUUUGCUUAAACUUAGAGUAGACUGUUUUAAUACUGUUUAUUACUGUUUGCUCAACUGCUGGCACACACUCCAUACCUUUUACGUAAUUUAAGUCACUUUAUAAAUGUACGUAUGUUUUCACUGCUGUUUCUUUUGUGUUUCGUUUUAGAUUAAAAAUGUCGAGUAUUAUUCUUAGAGUCCACAAAAAACACAACACACACACACAACACACAAAAUAUGUUCGAUUGCGUAUGCUAAAACUCUUGUGAUACUGUUUAAAUUAACUUUCUCGAACCAAAAAAAAAAACUAACUUUAAAUUAGCAACUUCUGCUUAGCGAUUGGUUAAGGAUUGACAAAUAAAUGAAAAUACACUUAAUAAUUAUAUAGCUGAGUUGAGGCAAAAAGAGGGAGAAGGGAGUUGCAUUGUCCGGCUGCACCCAUCAAUGUGUUGGACCGCAAGCGCUUCAUUGUCCAGGCGGUACAGGUGGACCCCGAUAACACCACCCUGUACAGCGUUU
RNAcentral lists this unclassified non-coding RNA (2216 nucleotides) under Drosophila yakuba. Its description in RNAcentral is "GE17753". Lineage: Eukaryota; Metazoa; Arthropoda; Insecta; Diptera; Drosophilidae. The record is from RNAcentral.